GCGGAAGUGGCGGAAUUGGUAGACGCACCAGAUUUAGGUUCUGGCGCCGCAAGGUGUGAGAGUUCAAGUCUCUCCUUUCGCACCA
Molecule: transfer RNA, 85 nt
Filed under: Vibrio parahaemolyticus
Lineage: Bacteria; Pseudomonadati; Pseudomonadota; Gammaproteobacteria; Vibrionales; Vibrionaceae
Description: tRNA-Leu
Rfam family: tRNA
About the family: Transfer RNA (tRNA) molecules are approximately 80 nucleotides in length. Their secondary structure includes four short double-helical elements and three loops (D, anti-codon, and T loops).
Source: RNAcentral